Triticum aestivum (bread wheat) is the source of this 102-nucleotide non-coding RNA. The record is from Rfam. NCBI's taxonomy places the organism in Eukaryota, Viridiplantae, Streptophyta, Magnoliopsida, Poales, Poaceae.
GAAAUACUCCCUCCGUCCGGAAUUACUUGUCAUUAAAAUGGAUGAAAAUGAAUGUUUUCAGCCAUUUUAAUGACAAGUAAUUCCGGACGGAGGGAGUAACAU